AGAGUUUGAUCACGGCUCAGGACGAACGCUGGCGGCACGCUUAACACAUGCAAGUCGAACGAGAGAAGAGGAGCUUGCUUUUCUGAUCUAGUGGCGGACGGGUGAGUAACACGUGAGCAAUCUGCCUUUCAGAGGGGGAUACCGAUUGGAAACGAUCGUUAAUACCGCAUAACAUAAUUGAACCGCAUGAUUUGAUUAUCAAAGAUUUAUCGCUGAAAGAUGAGCUCGCGUCUGAUUAGCUAGUUGGUAAGGUAACGGCUUACCAAGGCGACGAUCAGUAGCCGGACUGAGAGGUUGAUCGGCCACAUUGGGACUGAGACACGGCCCAGACUCCUACGGGAGGCAGCAGUGGGGAAUAUUGCACAAUGGAGGAAACUCUGAUGCAGCGAUGCCGCGUGAGGGAAGAAGGUUUUAGGAUUGUAAACCUCUGUCUUCAGGGACGAAAAAAGACGGUACCUGAGGAGGAAGCUCCGGCUAACUACGUGCCAGCAGCCGCGGUAAUACGUAGGGAGCGAGCGUUGUCCGGAAUUACUGGGUGUAAAGGGAGCGUAGGCGGGAUCGCAAGUCAGAUGUGAAAACUAUGGGCUUAACCCAUAAACUGCAUUUGAAACUGUGGUUCUUGAGUGAAGUAGAGGUAAGCGGAAUUCCUAGUGUAGCGGUGAAAUGCGUAGAUAUUAGGAGGAACAUCAGUGGCGAAGGCGGCUUACUGGGCUUUAACUGACGCUGAGGCUCGAAAGCGUGGGGAGCAAACAGGAUUAGAUACCCUGGUAGUCCACGCCGUAAACGAUGAUUACUAGGUGUGGGGGGACUGACCCCUUCCGUGCCGCAGCAAACGCAAUAAGUAAUCCACCUGGGGAGUACGACCGCAAGGUUGAAACUCAAAGGAAUUGACGGGGGCCCGCACAAGCAGUGGAGUAUGUGGAUUAAUUCGAAGCAACGCGAAGAACCUUACCAGGUCUUGACAUCGUAUGCAUAGCUCAGAGAUGAGUGAAAUCUCUUCGGAGACAUAUAGACAGGUGGUGCAUGGUUGUCGUCAGCUCGUGUCGUGAGGUGUUGGGUUAAGUCCCGCAACGAGCGCAACCCUUACUGUUAGUUGCUACGCAAGAGCACUCUAGCAGGACUGCCGUUGACAAAACGGAGGAAGGUGGGGAUGACGUCAAAUCAUCAUGCCCCUUAUGACCUGGGCCUCACACGUACUACAAUGGCUGUCAACAGAGGGAAGCAAAGCCGCGAGGUGGAGCGAACCCCUAAAAGCAGUCUUAGUUCGGAUUGUAGGCUGCAACCCGCCUACAUGAAGUCGGAAUUGCUAGUAAUCGCAGAUCAGCAUGCUGCGGUGAAUACGUUCCCGGGCCUUGUACACACCGCCCGUCACGCCAUGGGAGUCGGUAACACCCGAAGCCUGUAGUCUAACCGCAAGGAGGACGCAGUCGAAGGUGGGAUUGAUGACUGGGGUGAGGUCGUAACAAGGUA
This 1470-nucleotide ribosomal RNA is filed under the name metagenome. RNAcentral describes it as "bacterial SSU rRNA". It matches the Rfam family "Bacterial small subunit ribosomal RNA". The record is from RNAcentral.